This is a non-coding RNA of Macaca mulatta (Rhesus monkey), 83 nucleotides long. Lineage: Eukaryota; Metazoa; Chordata; Mammalia; Primates; Cercopithecidae. The record is from Rfam.
CUGGCGUCGGUACUAGGGAGCGGCCCCCGGGGCGGGCCUCCGCUCCGGCCCCUCCUGGGGCCCACACUCGCGCUCCGGGCCCG